Molecule: long non-coding RNA, 111 nt
Organism: Cornus florida
Lineage: Eukaryota; Viridiplantae; Streptophyta; Magnoliopsida; Cornales; Cornaceae
Exons: 3
Source: RefSeq, a predicted model, not a curated record
CCUCAGGUGACAAGGACACUCUUCUUAGGAUCUCGUGAGGUUAUUUGCCUUGAACUUGAAUCAAAUCAUUGCAUAUUGAGGGCCUCACAUUUGAAAGUUUGCCUAGGGCCU